RNA transcript from Magnolia sinica, 2341 nucleotides. It is a transcript of the gene named serine/threonine-protein phosphatase 2A 65 kDa regulatory subunit A beta isoform-like, with no coding region annotated. Lineage: Eukaryota; Viridiplantae; Streptophyta; Magnoliopsida; Magnoliales; Magnoliaceae. The transcript is spliced from 15 exons. The record is from RefSeq and is a predicted model, not a curated record.
CCGCUUCCUAAAUGGAUGGACGGCGUGGAUAAAACGCAUGGAUCAUGGUGGGGCCCACCGAGCUUUUCCACCACCAAGCUGGGUGUUGUUGGGGUCGCCACCGAAGCCGAGUCCUUUUUUCUCAAGACAAGAAGGAAAACGGAGCUCUCUAUUGCAGAAGGCCGAAGCUCUCUCUCUCUCCACAAAUCUCAUCGGCCUUUUUCUUCUUCAGCUGCCAAAAACUUGGGAAAUCUAAUGGCUAUGAUAGAUGAGCCACUCUAUCCAAUCGCUAUUUUGAUAGAUGAACUGAAAAAUGAAGACAUUCAGCUGCGAUUGAACUCAAUCCGCAGGCUUUCAACCAUUGCACGGGCCCUUGGGGAGGAAAGAACUAGAAAAGAAUUGAUUCCUUUUCUUAGUGAAAACAAUGAUGACGAUGAUGAAGUACUUCUUUCAAUGGCCGAAGAAUUGGGGGUGUUUAUUCCCUAUGUUGGGGGAGUGGAAUAUGCCCAUGUUUUACUUCCCCCAUUGGAAACUCUUUGCACUGUGGAGGAAACUUGCGUAAGGGACAAAGCUGUGGAAUCAUUGUGUCGUAUUGGAGCCCAGAUGAAGGAAAGUGAUCUGGUAGAUUGGUUCAUCCCUCUGGUAAAGAGGCUAGCAGCAGGGGAGUGGUUUACUGCUCGAGUUUCCUCAUGUGGACUGUUUCAUAUUGCUUACCCAAGUGCACCAGAGUUGUUGAAGGCAGAAUUACGUUCUAUAUACAGUCAGUUGUGUCAAGAUGAUAUGCCUAUGGUGAGAAGAUCUGCUGCAUCAAACCUAGGAAAAUUUGCUGCUACAGUUGAACCAAGCCAUCUGAAGACUGAUAUUAUGUCUAUAUUUGAAGAUCUAACACAGGAUGAUCAAGACUCCGUUCGGUUGUUGGCUGUUGAGGGAUGUGCAGCACUAGGGAAGUUGCUGGAACCGCAGGACUGUGUAGCUCACAUCCUUCCUGUCAUUGUUAAUUUCUCUCAGGACAAGUCUUGGCGUGUUCGUUAUAUGGUAGCAAAUCAGUUAUAUGAGCUAUGUGAAGCUGUUGGCCCUGAGCCUACCAGGGCGGACUUGGUGCCUGCAUAUGUGAGGCUACUUCGAGAUAACGAGGCUGAAGUACGUAUAGCAGCUGCAGGGAAAGUGACGAAAUUUUGCCGCAUCUUGAAUCCACAACUUGCAAUUCAGCACAUUCUUCCCUGCGUGAAGGAAUUGUCAUCAGAUUCUUCACAACAUGUUCGCUCUGCUUUGGCUUCAGUAAUAAUGGGAAUGGCACCGGUCUUAGGGAAGGAUGCAACUAUCGAGCAACUUCUUCCAAUUUUUCUUUCCCUUUUGAAAGAUGAAUUCCCUGAUGUUCGGCUCAAUAUCAUUAGCAAGCUUGAUCAAGUGAAUCAGGUUAUUGGAAUUGAUCUGUUGUCCCAAUCACUUCUACCGGCAAUUGUUGAGCUUGCAGAAGAUAGACAUUGGAGGGUUCGGCUUGCUAUAAUAGAGUACAUCCCCUUGUUGGCAAGUCAGUUGGGUGUAGGAUUUUUUGAUGAUAAGCUCGGUGCCCUGUGCAUGCAGUGGUUGGAAGAUAAGGUUUACUCAAUUCGUGACGCAGCUGCUAAUAACUUGAAGCGGCUCGCAGAGGAAUUUGGCCCAGAUUGGGCAAUGCAGCAUAUAAUUCCACAGGUGCUGGACAUGAUUAAUAACCCACAUUACUUGUAUCGGAUGACCAUCCUGCAUGCAAUUUCUCUACUUGCCCCUGUCAUGGGUUCAGACAUCACAUGCCAGAAGCUAUUGCCUGUGGUCAUUAAUGUCUCAAAGGACAGGGUACCCAACAUCAAAUUCAACGUGGCAAAGGUGUUGCAGUCCCUCAUACCCAUAGUCAGCCAAUCUGUGGUGGAGCAGACUAUUCGCCCCUGUUUGGUCGAGCUCAGUGAGGAUCCAGAUGUGGAUGUGAGGUAUUUUGCCAACCAAGCACUUCAGAAGAGUUCUACUCAGCCAACAGAUAAGAACCUCUUGUCCAGGUUUUAGUGUGAGAUUAUUAGCCAAUUCUAAUGACUACAGUAGAAGGUCAUUGAAUGACACAUCAGACUCCAAAUACAUACCGGAAAAGGAACGGACUUUUAACAUGCUCAAUACAAUGGUGAUGCCACCAAGAUCUUGAUUGGAAGAUCCAGCCCUUAAAGAUUCAUUAAAAGCACAGGAUUUUCUGCUUGUGGGGCCAUGGAGGGGAGAUCCAGACCAUUGGUCUAAAAGCAGUGAUGUGGAUGGGCCAUACUUAUCUUGGAUUCCACGGUCAGAACUCUUCGAAAUUUGGCCCUUAUUACAUUGAAUGUGGAUUUGUUAUACUUUGCUU